This 99-nucleotide ribosomal RNA is filed under the name uncultured bacterium. RNAcentral describes it as "partial 16S ribosomal RNA". It matches the Rfam family "Bacterial small subunit ribosomal RNA", at positions 1384 to 1482 of the family's 1533-position model. The record is from RNAcentral.
UACACACCGCCCGUCACGCUAUGGGAGCCGCUAACACCUGAAGCCGCCGCGCCAACCGCAAGGAGGCAGGCGUCUAGGGUGGGAGGGGUAACUGGAGCG